Molecule: ribosomal RNA, 253 nt
Filed under: uncultured bacterium
Lineage: Bacteria
Description: partial 16S ribosomal RNA
Rfam family: Bacterial small subunit ribosomal RNA
Source: RNAcentral
CACGUAGGGCGCAAGCGUUGUCCGGAAUUAUUGGGCGUAAAGAGCUCGUAGGCGGUCUGUUGCGUCGGCUGUGAAAACCCGGGGCUCAACUCCGGGCCUGCAGCCGAUACGGGCAGACUAGAGUUCGGCAGGGGAGACUGGAAUUCCUGGUGUAGCGGUGAAAUGCGCAGAUGUCAGGAGGAACACCGGUGGCGAAGGCGGGUCUCUGGGCCGAUACUGACGCUGAGGAGCGAAAGCGUGGGGAGCGAACAGG